RNAcentral lists this ribosomal RNA (877 nucleotides) under uncultured bacterium. RNAcentral describes it as "bacterial SSU rRNA". It matches the Rfam family "Bacterial small subunit ribosomal RNA", at positions 8 to 916 of the family's 1533-position model. The record is from RNAcentral.
AGAGUUUGAUCCUGGCUCAGAAUCAACGCUGGCGGCGUGCCUAACACAUGCAAGUCGAACGAGAAAGUGGAGCAAUCCAUGAGUAAAGUGGCGCACGGGUGAGUAACACGUGACUAACCUACCCUUGAGUGGGGGAUAACCUGGGGAAACCUUGGCUAAUACCGCAUAACACCUACGGGUCAAAGGAGCAAUUCGCUUAAGGAGGGGGUCGCGGCAGAUUAGUUAGUUGGCAGGGUAAUGGCCUACCAAGACAGUGAUCUGUAUCCGGCCUGAGAGGGCGCACGGACACACUGGAACUGAAACACGGUCCAGACUCCUACGGGAGGCAGCAGUGGGGAAUUUUGCGCAAUGGGGGAAACCCUGACGCAGCAACGCCGCGUGGAGGAUGAAGUCCCUUGGGACGUAAACUCCUUUCGACCGGGACGAUUAUGACGGUACCGGAAGAAGAAGCCCCGGCUAACUUCGUGCCAGCAGCCGCGGUAAUACGAGGGGGGCGAGCGUUGUUCGGAAUUAUUGGGCGUAAAGGGUGCGUAGGCGGUUCGGUAAGUUUUGUGUGAAAUCUUCGGGCUCAACUCGAAGCCUGCACAAGAUACUGCCGGGCUUGAGUGUGGGAGAGGUGAGUGGAAUUUCCGGUGUAGCGGUGAAAUGCGUAGAUAUCGGAAGGAACACCUGUGGCGAAAGCGGCUCACUGGACCACAACUGACGCUGAGGCACGAAAGCUAGGGGAGCAAACAGGAUUAGAUACCCUGGUAGUCCUAGCCCUAAACGAUGAUCGCUUGGUGUGACGGGUACCCAAUCCCGCCGUGCCGCAGCUAACGCGUUAAGCGAUCCGCCUGGGGAGUACGGUCGCAAGGCUGAAACUUAAAGGAAUUGACGG